Molecule: ribosomal RNA, 253 nt
Filed under: uncultured bacterium
Lineage: Bacteria
Description: partial 16S ribosomal RNA
Rfam family: Bacterial small subunit ribosomal RNA
Source: RNAcentral
UACAGAGGGGGCAAGCGUUAUUCGGAAUUAUUGGGCGUAAAGGGCGCGUAGGCGGCGAUUCAAGUGACGGGUGAAAUCCCUCGGCUUAACCGAGGAACUGCCUGUCAGACUGGAUUGCUUGAGGCCGGGAGAGGCGAGUGGAAUUCCCAGUGUAGCGGUGAAAUGCGUAGAUAUUGGGAGGAACACCAGUGGCGAAGGCGGCUCGCUGGACCGGUUCUGACGCUGAGGCGCGAAAGCGUGGGGAGCGAACAGG